GGGCCUGUAGCUCAGUUGGUUAGAGUAGCUGGUUUACACCCAGUUGGUCGGGGGUUCGAGUCCCUCCGGGCCCA
RNAcentral lists this transfer RNA (74 nucleotides) under Bowdeniella nasicola. RNAcentral's name for it is "Actinomyces nasicola tRNA". It matches the Rfam family "tRNA". From Rfam's summary of the family: Transfer RNA (tRNA) molecules are approximately 80 nucleotides in length. Their secondary structure includes four short double-helical elements and three loops (D, anti-codon, and T loops). Further hydrogen bonds mediate the characteristic L-shaped molecular structure. tRNAs have two regions of fundamental functional importance: the anti-codon, which is responsible for specific mRNA codon recognition, and the 3' end, to which the tRNAs corresponding amino acid is attached (by aminoacyl-tRNA synthetases). tRNAs cope with the degeneracy of the genetic code in two manners: having more than one tRNA (with a specific anti-codon) for a particular amino acid; and 'wobble' base-pairing, i.e. permitting non-standard base-pairing at the 3rd anti-codon position. Lineage: Bacteria; Bacillati; Actinomycetota; Actinomycetes; Actinomycetales; Actinomycetaceae. The record is from Rfam by way of RNAcentral.